CGGACUCUGGGUCAGAGUCGAAAUACAUCUGCUCUGGAGCCCAGGGCUUGCGCGGAAAGGAACCUUUAGCCAUCGGCGCAGAAGACGGAUAGACGGGCUGAACUCCUGAUCCCCCAUGUGGCUCAGAGAAGUCGGGGGAGGGAGACGAAAAACCGACACAACUUUGUAGAAAAUAUGGCGAAUUUAGCUGUGUACGCACACAAGAGACUGGAGCAGAAGAGGCCUUGAGUUCCAAUCUAGCCAGCAUGUAUGUGGAGGCUCUGACCCAAAAGACAAAAACAAUAUCACAAUAAAACUUCUACAGCCCGAGGGUCCAGAAGUAACAGAGGACUAUCUUCUCAUCUCUCAGCUCUGGACCAGCCACAGGAUCUCAGUUUGGGCCCCUCCUUACCGUGCGCUCUGGAUGAGCAGCCGUGGAUUCUCUGCUGUCAGAGCCCUCAGCUGCACCAUCACCUGAUCACUCAGAGAGCCCUGGUCCAGCCUGAAAGCACAAGGGAAGCCAUAUUGUCCUGGGAUACACUGAGGAACGUCUUUCACUCUGCCACAGUUGGGUUCCUUAGAAUUAGGCUCUGAGAUAAAGCCAGUGAGGGAGCUAAUUAGGGGAUGUUAUUUGACCAACACCAGGACAGAGAAGGGAGGGAGUAGCAGAGGCAGAUGUGGCCAUGAGGUGGUGCCAGUGAGGUCUUGGCCAAAUCACAGGUGUAUCUGAGAUGAGAUGAUGGCCUUUGGAACUGUCUAGAGUUAACUUUUUAAAACAAACUCCUACAUGGGUCAGAUGCUGGAUAUGAACCAUCCUAGGAAGGGGACAUGACAGUGGAUGAAGUGGUUCUUACUGGCAGAGGGCAUUCCUGCAGCCAUCAGCAUCACAGUGGUUGGGGGUCAUGGCUUUGUCCCAGAAGGGACUCUGGACUGUUGUUAAAGAGAGUAAUGAAGGUCUGUGUUCUAGGAUUUUGUGAGAAUUCUGCUAGAAGGAAACAAUCUUGGUACCACUUCCCCUCCCCUGCCCCCCCAUUUCAUUGCUGGUACCACUUCCCCUCCCCCCAUUUCAUUGCUGGAGGUGGAAGCCGUGUUCUCACACAUGAACUUGCCCUAUUGAGCCCAGGUCCUGGGUUCCAUCCUUACAGGUUUCAAGUCCCAGAGUUUCUGUUGGUUUAGAAUUACCACUUUUUUUCCCUGGGCCUCCAUGUCCAUAACCAGGAACAUCAUCACUCCCUCUCAGCCUGCUGUGAAGCAAGGACAAGGCAGGAGAGGAAAGAAUCCUAUGCUGGUGAGAGGCUGGGCAGUGUCAACAUUCCUGCCCUAUGAGCUGUUCUCCCUGGAGAGAAGAUGGAGCCCUUGAAGCUGAAUCUUGUUCCUGUUUCUAGGAAGGAAGGAGGCAGCUAA
Long non-coding RNA from Mesocricetus auratus (golden hamster), 1383 nucleotides. RefSeq lists it as uncharacterized. The record is from RefSeq and is a predicted model, not a curated record. The transcript has 3 exons. NCBI's taxonomy places the organism in Eukaryota, Metazoa, Chordata, Mammalia, Rodentia, Cricetidae.